UUACACGACCGUACCGCAAACCGACACUGGUGCGCGAGAUGAGUAUUCUAAGGCGCUUGAGAGAACUCAGGAGAAGGAACUCGGCAAAUUGACACCGUAACUUCGGAAGAAGGUGUGCCUUUAGUAGGUGAACCUGUACAAGGGGAGCCCAAUGAGGUUGCAAAAAAUCGGUGGCUGCGACUGUUUAAUAAAAACACAGCACUCUGCAAACACGAAAGUGGACGUAUAGGGUGUGACGCCUGCCCGGUGCUGGAAGAUUAAAUGAUGGGGUGCAAGCUCUUGAUUGAAGUCCCAGUAAACGGCGGCCGUAACAAUAACGGUCCUAAGGUAGCGAAAUUCCUUGUCGGGUAAGUUCCGACCUGCACGAAUGGCGUAACGAUGGCCACACUGUCUCCUCCUGAGACUCAGCGAAGUUGAAAUGUUUGUGAUGAUGCAAUCUCCCCGCGGAAAGACGGAAAGACCCCAUGAACCUUUACUGUAGCUUUGUAUUGGACUUUGAACAGAUCUGUGUAGGAUAGGUGGGAGGCUUUGAAGUGUGGUCGCUAGAUCGCAUGGAGCCAACGUUGAAAUACCACCCUGGUGUGUUUGAGGUUCUAACCUAGGCCCGUAAUCCGGGUCGGGGACAGUGCAUGGUAGGCAGUUUGACUGGGGCGGUCUCCUCCCAAAGCGUAACGGAGGAGUUCGAAGGUACGCUAGGUACGGUCGGACAUCGUGCUAAUAGUGCAAUGGCAUAAGCGUGCUUAACUGCGAGACUGACAAGUCGAGCAGAUGCGAAAGCAGGACAUAGUGAUCCGGUGGUUCUGUAUGGAAGGGCCAUCGCUCAACGGAUAAAAGGUACUCUGGGGAUAACAGGCUGAUACCGCCCAAGAGUUCAUAUCGACGGCGGUGUUUGGCACCUCGAUGUCGGCUCAUCUCAUCCUGGGGCUGUAGCCGGUCCCAAGGGUAUGGCUGUUCGCCAUUUAAAGAGGUACGUGAGCUGGGUUUAAAACGUCGUGAGACAGUUUGGUCCCUAUCUUCCGUGGGCGCUGCAGAUUUGAGGAAGCCUGCUCCUAGUACGAGAGGACCGGAGUGGACACACCUCUGGUGUAUCGGUUGUCACGCCAGUGGCAUUGCCGAGUAGCUAUGUGUGGAAGAGAUAACCGCUGAAAGCAUCUAAGCGGGAAACUCGUUUCAAAAUGAGAUCUGCCGGGGUCUUGAGCCCCCUAAAGAGUCGUUCAAGACCAGGACGUUGAUAGGUCGGGUGUGGAAGCGCAGUAAUGCGUUAAGCUAACCGAUACUAAUUGCUCGUGCGGCUUGACCU
RNAcentral lists this ribosomal RNA (1300 nucleotides) under metagenome. Its description in RNAcentral is "bacterial LSU rRNA". It matches the Rfam family "Bacterial large subunit ribosomal RNA", at positions 1634 to 2925 of the family's 2925-position model. The record is from RNAcentral.